UGGAUUUGCCAAAGUCUUUAGGAAAACUGGCAAAGCCUUGGAUGGGGCAGCAAGUACCUUGUUGAAGGUAUGAGAAGAUCAGGUGAGUUCCAUGCCCCAUGUGUUGGUAUAAUGUUGAUCACACUAUGCAUUUCAUAUCUAUUUAUACUUCAGGAGUUGAAUUGCUAAUUCAUUCUUUUGUACAGUGUCUGUAUUCAACCAUUCUUCAAAAUUAAUGAAAUCCUUUCAGUAGAAUAACUCCAAGGAAAAAUAUUUCAUAUAGUUCAGAAAUUAACUGAAAGGUUUUACCUGAGCAAGGGGGCAAAGCAGAGGUAGUUUUGGUCAAACCAGCACAGAAGUGACAGGACUCUGAGUGUUCCAACAGGCUCUUCAACCUCUCCCCACUGUCUCCUGGAGGUUUGGCUGCUUGUUCCGAAGCCCAGAUGUGAUACAGGGAGGCUGUCUAAUGCUGUGUCAGAUUGCUAUUAACAGAGUGGUGUGAGAAAGAGCUGUUAAAUACACCUUGUUAGGGGCCUCCACACCUGCACUUGGUGGCCUAUCCACUUUGGUUUGGUGGCCCUGCCCUUGGCUUUUGUCUGAGACUUUUUUCUUUUCUUGACUGAGAAAUUUACUGAAACAAUCCUUACUCACUGACACAACUUCCUGGCUUGAUUCUGAAGCUGUGUUGUCACUUUGUAUUUGACUGGCAAAAGCUGGCCAUCACCAGAUCUGCUGUACUUGCCUUGCUUAGGAGCUACGGGACUGCAUGCUGCACUGGCCCUAGCUGGCACAGAUUUGACAGUGUUUCUAGCAGCCUGCUUGAUGCUGAUUUCUAGAUUUUUGCCUAAAACAGUGCUCUUAGAACACCAGUGUUUUGGCUUCUACUGGACAGACAGUGCUUGCACAGAAUGAAGACUCAAUUUUUGUCACUUUGCACCCCAGUGAGUAGGCUAGGGCUGAGCAAGAAACUGGGAGAGGACACUGAUGGGAUAGCUCUCUCAGACUUGCCAAAGGUAUAUUCCAUACCAUGUAACAUCAUACCCGGUCCAUGAAUAACACUCCCCUCUAUUUCUUGACCUUCACCACUGAUCUAUCUGUCCUAUGUUCCAGCCUAAGCCACUUUUUAAUACUUGGCCACUUUCUCUGUCUCUUCUCUCACUGACAAGAGCUCAGCCAUGUAAGGUCAAACUACUCACUGAUCUCAAUAUGGUUCCUUUAAUUCAGAGAAUAAUGGUUUGAGCAUUGAUACCAGUGUUAUUAGCUUUGAGACUCACAUUAAUGUGAUAGAGGUAGGCUGUAAUCAAUAACCAGUCACCUGCUGAAAUCUGUAAGCAUUCUGAAUACUGGUUAAAAUAGAAAGUUAUCGUUCUCAUCAUUCUUUAAGAGGAUAAUCUGAGAAGUAAAUUCUGAUGGAGCAAUAAAGCUGAGCUCAGACUGUAGGAGAUUGUUCUUACUAUGUAUUAUGUAACAGCACAUUCCCUGGAAAACAGUUAAAAUUUUUUGUUUGAACGCCAUUUAUACAAUCUAAGUAAUUCUGGAGAUAAUUAUACAUGUUAGUAAUUGCUUUCAUGUUAACUGAGUAUAUAAAAUUAUAAACCAUUUAGUCAUCCCAUUCAUUUUUAAUGCUUUCAUAUGAACAUUGGGAAAAUCUCCAGACUUUCCAAAGGAAGGAAUAUUAAACGAAUAAAUGCAUCUUCUGAUGU
Gallus gallus (chicken) is the source of this 1682-nucleotide long non-coding RNA. The record is from Ensembl. Lineage: Eukaryota; Metazoa; Chordata; Aves; Galliformes; Phasianidae.